GACGAACGCUGGCGGCGUGCUUAACACAUGCAAGUCGAACGGUGAAGGAAGAGCUUGCUCUUCCGGACCAGUGGCGAACGGGUGAGUAACACGUGGGCAACCUGCCCCUGACUCUGGGAUAACUCCUCGAAAGAGGUGCUAAUACCGGAUACGACCACUUCGGACAUCCGAUGGUGGUGGAAAGUUUUUCGGUCAGGGAUGGGCCCGCGGCCUAUCAGCUAGUUGGUGGGGUAAUGGCCUACCAAGGCGACGACGGGUAGCCGGCCUGAGAGGGCGACCGGCCACACUGGGACUGAGACACGGCCCAGACUCCUACGGGAGGCAGCAGUGGGGAAUAUUGCGCAAUGGGCGAAAGCCUGACGCAGCGACGCCGCGUGAGGGAU
RNAcentral lists this ribosomal RNA (383 nucleotides) under uncultured bacterium. RNAcentral describes it as "bacterial SSU rRNA". It matches the Rfam family "Bacterial small subunit ribosomal RNA", at positions 28 to 409 of the family's 1533-position model. The record is from RNAcentral.